RNAcentral lists this ribosomal RNA (480 nucleotides) under uncultured bacterium. RNAcentral's name for it is "bacterial SSU rRNA". It matches the Rfam family "Bacterial small subunit ribosomal RNA", at positions 30 to 507 of the family's 1533-position model. The record is from RNAcentral.
UGAACGCUAGCGGCAGGCCUAAUACAUGCAAGUCGAACGGUAACAGGGUAGCAAUACCGCUGACGAGUGGCGCACGGGUGCGUAACGCGUAUGCAACUUACCUUUAACUGGGAGAUAGCCCCUCGAAAGAGGGAUUAAUACCCCAUAGUAUAAUGAGGAAGCAUUUCUUUAUUAUUAAAGCUCAGGCGGUUAAAGAUGGGCAUGCGUUGCAUUAGCUUGUUGGUGAGGUAAUGGCUCACCAAGGCUACGAUGCAUAGGGGAUCUGAGAGGACUAACCCCCACACUGGUACUGAGACACGGACCAGACUCCUACGGGAGGCAGCAGUAAGGAAUAUUGGUCAAUGGACGCAAGUCUGAACCAGCCAUGCCGCGUGCAGGAUGACGGCCCUAUGGGUUGUAAACUGCUUUUAUACGGGAAAAAACCCUUGCUCGUGAGCGAGGUUGAUGGUACUGUAAGAAUAAGGAUCGGCUAACUCCGUG